GGAAGUAUUGAGCAAUUGGUUGGCUCGCCAGACUGUAAAUCUGGUUUACUAUGUAACGUGUUGGUUCGAGUCCAACUACUUCCA
Molecule: transfer RNA, 84 nt
Filed under: unidentified eubacterium SCB49
Lineage: Bacteria; Pseudomonadati; Bacteroidota
Rfam family: tRNA
About the family: Transfer RNA (tRNA) molecules are approximately 80 nucleotides in length. Their secondary structure includes four short double-helical elements and three loops (D, anti-codon, and T loops).
Source: Rfam by way of RNAcentral